Molecule: long non-coding RNA, 1036 nt
Organism: Wasmannia auropunctata (little fire ant)
Lineage: Eukaryota; Metazoa; Arthropoda; Insecta; Hymenoptera; Formicidae
Exons: 2
Source: RefSeq, a predicted model, not a curated record
CUGGAAUCAUUGUGCGAUGAAUCCAUCCCUACCCAAGGAUACUUGGCUCGUUCAGGAUAUAAACUGAACAGGAAUGUCUCACCGGUACCAAAGUUUUUAUCAUCAGAAGGGUCGGUUCAUGUUGCUCAACUCGCACAUAGAACGUCGUCAAGGAACAUCCAUGUUCUUCGGUCGUGUAUAACAAGAUGGGCUGGUACAUCGUGAUCCUCAUCGGUAGCCAUGACCAUAGGGUAAACAACUGAUAAGUAAACAAAUUCAAAUAAUUAAUUGGACGUAAAAGAUGGUUUUAUAACUGUGCAAACAUUAGUUUCUAAUGGUUCACUAAUAAUUUAAGAGGAGCAAACUAAAUUACGAUAGACAUGCGCUUUACUGAUAAAAUUAAAUUAAAAUAAUUAUAUCAAUUAUUUUAUGGAAAAGUACAGUAAUUGAUAUGUAAAUAUAGAUUGAGCUCUUUAUGUCUUUUUGAAAAAUUCGUUGUUUGUUUGCAUUUCUCCAUAAAAAUACUUUAUAAGAACGAAAAAAAUUAGCUAAUCUUUUUUUUUUUUAAGUAAAGACAUUUUUGUCUUGCAUUCAUUUUUACUGUGUUUUUCCAUAACGAAGCAAAAAAAUAUCGAAAAUUUUCUUAUUAGCAAUCCUUUGUUUUCUAGAUAAUAAUAAUAUAAUUAUUAAUUAAUCAUGAAAGAUAUAAUUAUGAUAUAAAUAUGUGUGCAAUAUAAUUGAAUAGAUAUUUUUGAUCAAGAUAUCAACUAUAUGUUGCAAAAAACAGCUUAACAUUUCUUUUAUAAGAAUUAAUAUUUGUCAUUUCAUUAUUUUUUUAUGCGUAAAUUAUUUAUAAUUAACAAUGUACUAAUAAAUUAAUAUAUACCAAUUCGUAAUUAUUCUAACAUCAUGGAGAAUUACUUUCUCAUAAUCAUCUACAUUUAUAUACACACACACAUAUAUGUAUAUCUACAUAAAAAAAUAUAGAACAAAAAAUUACGACAUUUCCUAUUUGUAAUAUUGCUAACAUUUUAAAAUAAAGAAACAUCAAUUCUAA